UUGCCAACGAAACCUAGACUAUAUAAAGAUGGAGAAGAUAAAAGACAAGGGAUCUCUUUUUUUUCAUGGAUGAACUUUGGUACUAGAUUAAAAGCAUUACGUAUUCUUUGAUCAUCACAAGAUACAUUCCUUUGUAUUCAUCAUCUUUCAACUCAUCAAUUAAAUCAUAUUCAUUCUUCAAGUUUAUUUACGGGAUUCAGCCCACGAU
Molecule: long non-coding RNA, 208 nt
Filed under: Brassica napus (rape)
Lineage: Eukaryota; Viridiplantae; Streptophyta; Magnoliopsida; Brassicales; Brassicaceae
Description: long non-coding RNA (BNAP_LNC022249)
Source: RNAcentral